Molecule: transfer RNA, 57 nt
Filed under: Escherichia coli
Lineage: Bacteria; Pseudomonadati; Pseudomonadota; Gammaproteobacteria; Enterobacterales; Enterobacteriaceae
Description: tRNA-Met
Rfam family: tRNA
About the family: Transfer RNA (tRNA) molecules are approximately 80 nucleotides in length. Their secondary structure includes four short double-helical elements and three loops (D, anti-codon, and T loops).
Source: RNAcentral
GCGGGGUGGAGCAGCCUGGUAGCUCGUCGGGCUCAUAACCCGAAGGUCGUCGGUUCA